ACAUGAGAACUUGCGUUCAGUACCCCCGGGUCAUGAAGGAUUGCUUGAAAUAAGCAACAAUUUAAUCAAUGAAGCGGAGGCCGAGACGGCGCCAGAUGACGUAGAACUCGACAUUAACCGCCUCGACAGGCUGAAUAGUAUGACUUCCGAAACUGACACCAUGACCGCUGGAUCUGAUACUAUGACCGCUGGAUCUGAUACUAUGACCGCUGGAUCUGACACAAUGACUGCUGGAUCUGACACUAAUUCAGAUACGCUUUCUGUUACCAAUGAUCAUCAAGAAGAUUUCCAACAUGAUGUAGAAAUUCAUGCUGAAAUAGACAGAGCCGAUUAGUAGGACCGCAAUUAGAAUCGCCCGGGGACGGUCGCAAGUCAGUCCGGCCGUGACGGCGCAUUCGAAACGUCAUAUGUUUUAUUACGCCGGAACUAGAUUGACAAGCUGCAGUGCUGUCGUCUGGCGGAGCGUCGUAGCGUUGGUUAGCGCGGCCAUGUUGGCAACUUUACUUUUUGUUACCGCAUCGCAAGCGCACCACGUACCGAGUCGACGAAUCGCUUUUGUUCCGCGUAAUCUUUUGAUAUCUAUUGUUAAUUGUUACUGAUUGUUAUAGUGAAAGUGAUAAUUUAAAUUAUAGUGAACUGAUUUUAAAUUAAACCAUAACUCUAAUUAUUUUGUGUAUUAAAGUGAUUAAAGAUCGAACUUGAA
Molecule: long non-coding RNA, 703 nt
Organism: Melitaea cinxia (Glanville fritillary)
Lineage: Eukaryota; Metazoa; Arthropoda; Insecta; Lepidoptera; Nymphalidae
Exons: 2
Source: RefSeq, a predicted model, not a curated record